This 253-nucleotide ribosomal RNA is filed under the name uncultured bacterium. Its description in RNAcentral is "partial 16S ribosomal RNA". It matches the Rfam family "Bacterial small subunit ribosomal RNA", at positions 524 to 776 of the family's 1533-position model. The record is from RNAcentral.
UACGUAGGAGGCAAGCGUUGUCCGGAAUUACUGGGCGUAAAGCGCGUGUAGGUGGUGGGACAAGUCUGCUGUGAAAGCGCCUGGCUUAACCGGGCGAGGUCGGCGGAAACUGUCCGACUCGAGGACGGUAGAGGGGGGUGGAAUUCCCGGUGUAGUGGUGAAAUGCGUAGAGAUCGGGAGGAACACCUGUGGCGAAGGCGGCCCCCUGGGCCGGCCCUGACACUGAGGAGCGAAAGCGUGGGGAGCGAACAGG